UGGAGCAUGUGGUUUAAUUCGAUGAUACGCAGGAACCUUACCUGGGCUCAAAUGUAUGUUGACGUAUUCUGAAAGGGAUACUUCUUCGGACAAUAUACAAGGUGCUGCAUGGUUGUCGUCAGCUCGUGCCGUGAGGUGUCGGGUUAAGUCCCAUAACGAGCGCAACCCCUAUCAUCUGUUGCCAGCAUUUAAGGUGGGGACUCAGAUGAGACUGCCGGUGACAAACCGGAGGAAGGUGGGGACGACGUCAAGUCAUCAUGGCCCUUAUGUCCUGGGCUACACACGUGCUACAAUGGCCGGUACAGAGUGAAGCGAAACCGCGAGGUGAAGCAAAACGCAGAAAGCCGGUCUCAGUACGGAUUGGAGUCUGAAACUCGACUUCAUGAAGUUGGAAUCGCUAGUAAUCGCGCAUCAGCAUGGCGCGGUGAAUACGUUCCCGGGCCUU
RNAcentral lists this ribosomal RNA (445 nucleotides) under uncultured Spirochaeta sp. RNAcentral describes it as "bacterial SSU rRNA". It matches the Rfam family "Bacterial small subunit ribosomal RNA", at positions 933 to 1382 of the family's 1533-position model. Lineage: Bacteria; Pseudomonadati; Spirochaetota; Spirochaetia; Spirochaetales; Spirochaetaceae. The record is from RNAcentral.